ACGGUACCUGCAGAAGAAGCACCGGCUAACUACGUGCCAGCAGCCGCGGUGAUACGUAGGGUGCGAGCGUUGUCCGGAUUUAUUGGGCGUAAAGAGCUUGUAGGCGGUUAGUCGCGUCGUAAGUGCAAACUCAGGGCUUAACCCUGAGCCUGCUUUCGAUACGGGCUGACUAGAGGAAGGUAGGGGAGAAUGGAAUUCCCGGUGGAGCGGUGGAAUGCGCAGAUAUCGGGAGGAACACCAGUGGCGAAGGCGGUUCUCUGGACCUUUCCUGACGCUGAGAAGCGAAAGCGUGGGGAGCAAACAGGCUUAGAUACCCUGGUAGUCCACGCCGUAAACGGUGGGUACUAGGUGUGGGGGACAUUCCACGUUCUCUGUGCCGUAGCUAACGCAUUAAGUACCCCGCCUGGGGAGUACGGCCGCAAGGCUAAAACUCAAAGGAAUUGACGGGGCCCCGCACAAGCGGCGGAGCAUGCGGAUUAAUUCGAUGCAACGCGAAGAACCUUACCUGGGUUUGACAUAUACCGGAAACGUCUAGAGAUAGGCGCCCCGCAAGGUC
Molecule: ribosomal RNA, 556 nt
Filed under: uncultured bacterium
Lineage: Bacteria
Description: bacterial SSU rRNA
Rfam family: Bacterial small subunit ribosomal RNA
Source: RNAcentral